This is a non-coding RNA of Misgurnus anguillicaudatus (oriental weatherfish), 3542 nucleotides long. The record is from RefSeq and is a predicted model, not a curated record. Lineage: Eukaryota; Metazoa; Chordata; Actinopteri; Cypriniformes; Cobitidae.
GAGUGCUCCAACUUAGAAUGCUUAUACUUUGUAAUUCCAUGUGUCAGUUUGACUUCAGCACUUUUGUAUAGACCUAAUUCUUAUAAUCCUGAUUUGUUUCGACAGCAGUUAUUACUUGUUAUUGAUGAAAUGGAGAAGCGUCCAGGACAGAAAAUAAUCAUGGGAGACUUUAAUGAAGAUGUUUUUACUUCAUCCACAAUUGUAAAAUUAAUGCAACAACAUGGAUACAGUCAACAGGUACAAACUCCAACUACAGAAAAGGGUACAUUAAUAGACCAUGUGUACACAAAAGACAUUAAAUGUAUACAUGUUGAGGUUGCACAAACCUACUACAGCUUCCAUCAGGCUAUACUUAUGUCACUGUUGUAAUAGUACAUAUAAAUACUCCGCUGGCCAUUGGGGGUGGGAGGUUAGGGAGGAAACAAUCACAGCGGCUCCCUGGGUAAGGGCAUGUAAGGGUAGUGGACACUGGGUGGGAGGUGACAGGGGUUGGUGUAUGACAGUUAUUUAACAGUACUGUUUGUUUCAGCAGUCCUUUGCUUGUUUUAUUUAUUUAUUUACUUUUGUUUGUGUUUUUCUUUGUAAUCUGCUGCGUUUUGCAAGUUUUAGUUCUUAUCACAACCACACCAAUUUUCUACAUUUAUUGCAUUUUAAGCACAGUUCAAGAAUUUUUUAUUUUUUUGUUUUAUACAAGCCAAACAUCAUCUUGUUUAUUUACUUUUAUUUGUGUUUUUCUUUGUAAUCUGCUGCAUUUUGCAAGUUUUAGUUCUUAUCACAACCACACCUAUUUUCUACAUUUAUUGCAUUUUAAGCACAGUUCAAGAUUUUUUUUACUUUUGUUUUAUACAAGCCAAACAUCAUCUUGUUUAUUUACUUUUAUUUGUGUUUUUCUUUGUAAUCUGCUGCGUUUUGCAAGUUUUAUUUUCUACAUUUAUUGCAUUUUAAGCACAGUUCAAGAUUUUUUUAUUUUUGUUUUAUACAAGCCAAACAUCAUCUUGACUUUAUGUACAAAAAUGCUUCUUAACCACUGUUAAACAAUUACAUGUGAGUCUUUGACGUCUAACAAAAAUGAACAGUAAUAUUUCAGACAAUAUUUCAAAGCCACACAUGACUAAAUGACUGAGAUAACUACUGUUGGUGAUUGAAGAAUCGUGCAUUGAAACUUAAGGUUAGUAUUAUUCUUCAUAUUUUUUUAUGAUUCACAUGCUCAGCAUUAAUUUUUUUUAGUGAUUAAUCAUUACUUACUUUUUAUGUUUUAGAAUGUAUAUGCAAAAACCACAGCUCAACCUUUACCUUGUGGUUGAAAAAAAUCGAAUUGUCAUCUUAAAGUUUACAUGAAACAACAACAUCAUCUUUCUUCAACUGAUGUACACCAGAAUACAGCAAGAAGAAGACUGUGCAUCAGAAAUACAUUUACCAUUUUACAUAAAAAACAUGUACUAUGGUGAACACAACACUGCAUCAAGUUAACACUUACCAUUUUACAAACAAUGUACUAUGGUGAACACAACACUACAUCGGGAUGACUUCCUUUUUAAUGUCACUCACAUCAACUGUCGUUACAACACAACGGAUCUACCAAUCAACAUUUAAUCAUCUUCAACAGUACUUAUCUCAGUCAUUUAUUCAUGUGUGGUGAUGGAAUAAGCAUGUACAUUAACACUUAAGGUUAGUAUUUUUUAUUCAGUUUUUUUGUUAUUAAUUAUAUACGUGUUUUCUAUUUUUUUUAAUUACUAAAUAAUCUUUUUAUACUUUUUAUGUUUUAGAAUGUAUAUGAUGACACCACAGCUGAACAUUCAUCUUCUGGUUGACAACAGUCAAUUUUCACAUGUUCUUGUUUAAAUUAAACAAUCACAUCUCAUCAUUUUUCAUCGGAUGUCCACCACACCAAAAUACAAAAAAAAAACCUUGACAUCUGUUAUAAAAUUACCAUGCUACAUAGAGUAAGUGCAUUUUAUUCAUAAUUGUUUAUGUACAAUAAUUUAUAUUUUUCUCUUCAUCAAAGCAAAUAACAACAUUACAAUUUUGAACUUUUUUUGCAGGAAGGUGUGCUAUGGUGGACACAACACUACAUCAGUAUGACACACAGUAGCAUCCUGGUCAUCCCGGCUAUUCCUUUUGAAUAUCCAGAGCUGGUUACAACAGGACAGGACUACCAAGCUUUUCUAUCACAUUGUAAAGAACUAUUUCUUUUACAUUACAAGACAGACAUGAUAUAGCAUAUAUAUGCAGAUACCUUGUUUAUUGUCAUUUAUUUUUUUUUUCUUUAUAAAACAUUGCAGUAUAUGCAGCAUAUACUAUAUACAACAUUCCAACGUAUAUGUUGCAGUUCCAGCUACAUAUACAAUGAGAAUGUAUAUUAAUGUCACGACAAAUACAAUGGGUGUGGUUGUGGAUAUCAAGCAAAGGACUGCUGUAGUUCCUUAAACUUUAUAGUUUACGCCAGGGAUCUCAAAAGUGGGAGCUGUGAACCCCUGGAGUCCCUAAUUGUUUUGCCAGAUAAUCUGUAAAAUAAUCUGUUUUAUAUAAUUGCAUUGCAUUCUUAAGAAGGGCAAUCUAAGUACAAUGUGGGUAUUGCUACUUUUGAUUUUAUUAAAACAUUUAAGAUAAUUUAAACAGUAUAACUGUCAAAUCAAAUGUAAUUUUAACUAAACAAACAUCUAAAUAACCUCUUAAAUUUAAUCACUUUAAUAUAAGUCUAAAAUAUGCUUUAAUGGAAGAAUAUGCUUAGUAACUGUCAUUUUAAGAGGUCUUUGGAAAUUUGUCUCCCUUUUAAGGGGACCAAAGGCACAAAACAUUCAAGAACCCCUUGUUUACACUUACUGAAAAUUGAACCAUAAUCACCAUAUGUCCAAAUAUAUCAUAUCUGUGCAUCAUUUCACCUCUGUAAGAUUGAGUAAUUUUACAUGACACAUGAAUUUAUUCUGUAAUCACUGUAUUAAUUAUUAAACAUUUUAUUAUUAAUGCUUUUUUCAUCCCAGUGUUCUUCUUACCAUUACUUUAUAUUUAUUGCCUGUUUUGUAUACCAGGAACUGAAGGGAACAAUUUUUAAAAUGGCAGACAAAAUAAGUAUUUAAUGAGUAAGAAGGAAAUAUAGUUAUUUACAUAUUUUCCCACCAGUAGGUGGCUCUGAGAUGACACUAUGCAUCAACCCUCAAAUGUGACCUGUGAUGAUAUAAAUCAACCAUCUUAAGCCUACGCUAAAGCUUUACAAAUAUAUAGCCUCAUAUUCAUAUUAAUCUUUACUACACACAUUGUAUAUCUAUUUAGAUAACAUGUAUGCUCCAUGUGAAUUUUUCUUUUGUUACCUUUCUUAUGUAGUAUUACACAUUGUACUUACAUUUCUAUGAUUUCAGUGUUACACUUGACCACUAGUGGAUGAUGGUUUCUAACUCAAAAUUUGACCAAAAGGUGAGACAAUGAAAAAAAGAAAAAAUCUCGUGAUUUUAUGACUGUGAUGACACCCAUCACAUUUGGUGUACAUACAAUAAAGUGAUACAGAGAUAUAGCCUCAAAUGUCUUGACCACUAGGUGGCGCUGUG